UAAAGAAAUAAACAAUACAGCUUUUUAUAGUUUAAAUACAGGAAAUAAUUAUAAUUUUAGAAAAUAAAGCUGUCGCUAAAAAACGGAUGAAGUGCGAAAGAAUACGCUAUGCCUCACAGAAGGUGGAUGUAACAAGUUCUGAUUAUAAUGAAGAUUCUUCUUCUGACAUACAAGGGUUGUGUCGUAAAAAGAUACGUAAAACAGACACCGUAAAAAAAAAGUGGCAAUAACAAUUGCUCAGGAAGUUCUGCAAUCAUACAAAAAAAGUUCUUUUCUGAAUGAAAGGCCAAAAAUUAAUGAUAACUCUGUAACAAGUUUCGCGAAUCAACGUAACAUUCCUAAUGAUAUUUCUAAUAAUGUUCCUAAUGAUGUUCUACAUAAAGAUAUCAAUGUUGAAGACAAUGUUGAAGACAAUGUUGAAGACAAUGUUGAAG
Temnothorax curvispinosus is the source of this 434-nucleotide long non-coding RNA. RefSeq lists it as uncharacterized. The transcript has 3 exons. Lineage: Eukaryota; Metazoa; Arthropoda; Insecta; Hymenoptera; Formicidae. The record is from RefSeq and is a predicted model, not a curated record.